GCGGAUUAUUGUCCGCUGGGAUGUGGCCCUAACGGGCUGAACCGUAAA
Candidatus Bathyarchaeota archaeon RBG_13_46_16b is the source of this 48-nucleotide non-coding RNA. NCBI's taxonomy places the organism in Archaea, Thermoproteati, Candidatus Bathyarchaeota. The record is from Rfam.